RNAcentral lists this ribosomal RNA (292 nucleotides) under uncultured bacterium. RNAcentral describes it as "partial 16S ribosomal RNA". It matches the Rfam family "Bacterial small subunit ribosomal RNA", at positions 505 to 796 of the family's 1533-position model. The record is from RNAcentral.
GUGCCAGCAGCCGCGGUAAUACGGAGGAUCCAAGCGUUAUCCGGAUUCAUUGGGUUUAAAGGGUGCGUAGGCGGAAUUGUAAGUCAGUGGUGAAAGCCUGCAGCUUAACUGCAGAAUUGCCAUUGAUACUGCAAAUCUUGAGUACAUUUGAUGUGGGCGGAAUGUGUCAUGUAGCGGUGAAAUGCUUAGAUAUGACACAGAACACCGAUUGCGAAGGCAGCUCACAAAACUGUAACUGACGCUGAGGCACGAAAGCGUGGGGAUCGAACAGGAUUAGAUACCCUGGUAGUCC